CCUACGGGAGGCAGCAGUGAGGAAUAUUGGUCAAUGGACGCAAGUCUGAACCAGCCAUGCCGCGUGCAGGAAGACGGCUCUAUGAGUUGUAAACUGCUUUUGUACGAGGGUAAACGCAGAUACGCGUAUCUGUCUGAAAGUAUCGUACGAAUAAGGAUCGGCCAACUCCGUGCCAGCAGCCGCGGUAAUACGGAGGAUUCAAGCGUUAUCCGGAUUUAUUCGGUGUAAAGGGUGCGUAGGCGGUCGGAUAAGUUAGAGGUGAAAUCCCGAGGCUCAACUUCGGAAUUGCCUCUGAUACUGUUCGGCUAGAGAGUAGUUGCGGUAGGCGGAAUGUAUGGUGUAGCGGUGAAAUGCUUAGAGAUCGUACAGAACACCGAUUGCGAAGGCAGCUUACCAAGCUACUUCUGACGUUGAGGCACGAAGGCGUGGGGAGCGAACAGGAUUAGAUACCCGAGUAGUC
Molecule: ribosomal RNA, 460 nt
Filed under: uncultured bacterium
Lineage: Bacteria
Description: partial 16S ribosomal RNA
Rfam family: Bacterial small subunit ribosomal RNA
Source: RNAcentral